RNA transcript from Benincasa hispida (wax gourd), 2916 nucleotides. It is a transcript of the gene named ent-kaur-16-ene synthase, chloroplastic-like, with no coding region annotated. Lineage: Eukaryota; Viridiplantae; Streptophyta; Magnoliopsida; Cucurbitales; Cucurbitaceae. The record is from RefSeq and is a predicted model, not a curated record.
CUCUCCUUCUCUCUCUGCUACCACAAGUUUACGAGUCUUUGAGAAUGAAAACAAAACCAAAAGGCUGGAAAGAGUAUGAUUUUGAUUUUGUAGUUAUCAUAACUAUCAUAAGUUAUAUGAGUCUUUGCGUUUAAUUCCUUCUCGUCGGGUUCGAUUUAGUCUUUUCGUUUAUGUCUUUGGUCCUAUACCGCAAAUGUAUUUUAAUCCAUCAUCUCAGAUUUUGAUCCUUUAAUCACUGGCCUCAAAAGGCGGCUAGAAAGAGUUGACAUUUUAGUCAACAUUAGACUUUUCACCGUGUGUUAGAGGUAUCAUAGAUUUUCCCAGAUGAGGGCAAGGGGCCGUCCACACAUACCUCCAUAUUGGUAUAGACAACAAAUACCUAUGUUUGCAUGAUAUUGUCUACUAUGGUUUCACUCUCGUAUCAUUGAAGAUAGUUGUCUUUACUUAUAUUUCAUUGAUCUUUCCUUAUCUAGCCAAUGUGAGACCAUGACUAUGAUCAUACUCCAAAAAAUACUCACCUCAAACAAAGUACCACACUUGAGCUUUCUCAAACAAAUCUAUCCACUCCCAAUAGCGAGAGUUUGCUCUUCAUCUUGAGGCAACUAUCACAUCCUGAGGCCACAUUCAGAUAGGACAUGAGCAUAGAUAAUUCCAAUUGACAAUGAGAGUUUAUUUUGUUUUUACCAUGACAGGGAAACGACAAGACCACCUAGGUAGAGCACAAGUGAGCCUCAUUAAUUCUCUUUGUUUGAAAUCUAAGGAUUUCUCCGACAUACAGCUAGGUUUAGACCAUAGCUUUAAUACCAAUUGAUAAGAGCAACAAACCCUUCAUAUAUCUUCACAUUGGUUUGAUAUUGUUCUAUUUCGGGCAUAACCUCUCAUGACUUAGCUUUUGAUUUCACCUAAAAAACUUCAUACCAAUACUCGAUAGAGAUAAUUGUUCUCGUUUAGUAUAUGGAUGGCUCUCUUUCCUAGCCGAUGUAGAACUUUGUUUGUAAAGUUUUGGUCUCUUUGUAAUGGAUGACUCAUAACUACCUUAAGUUUAAAAAAAAUGACGAAAGAAGGAAAAAAGAAAUAUGAGGAAAAUAGUAGAGAUUAAAAGGAAACAUAUGAAAUCUUCUGGCUGUUCAUUCUUAAAGCAGUAACUGAUAUUAAAUUAAAGCAUCUAAGAAAUCUCCCAGUUAUUCAUGAAGAAGUUUACACCAAAAUGGAAAAACCACACUAAUGUCUGUAUUGUUUCUGUCAAAUUCUUCCUUGAACGGUUAAACUGCAUAUACUAUUGUUCUAUAGUGUCUAUAUUAAAUUAAAACAUUUUCACAUGGAAGUACCUUCUUAACCAGUUUCUCCAUUCCCUGAAACAAAAAUUGGAACAAGGAUCUAAAAAUGUAGCUUUGGUAUGAAAUAACAUUCAAAAUCUUCUAAUUUUAUUUUCAGUUUUUUGUUAAAUGAUGGAUUGAUAAUUUAUUAGUCAUGCAGUGCUUGGAGGAAGCAAGGAAAGAAUUAAUAAGAUGUUUAAAAAGGUUGAGCUUUCUGUUUCUACAUGUGAUACUGGUUGGAUGGCAAUGGUUCCUACUCCAGGCUGCCCCAAAACCCCUCUUUUUCCUGAGUGCUUAAACUGGUUGUUGGGUAAUCAACUCCCUUACAACCGUCCCAUCAUGACAAAGGCUAGGCUCUUAUCUACCUUAGCCUGUCUUCUUGCUCUUAAGUGGUGGGAUGCUGGUCAAGAACAUUUGAUCAAAAUAUUAGUUUCUAAAUGUUCUUGGAGUUUUCUGUUCUUUGGAAUUUAACUUUCUUCCUUCAAGCAGGCUUCAGUUGUCAACUGAAAGGCAUUUACCUUCUCAUGCAGGCCUUAACUUUAUUGAGUCAAAUUUAGAUUCUGCUACUGAUGAAAAGCAACAUUCUCCUAUUGGAUUUCACAUCAUUUUCUCUAGCAUGAUUGAGUAUGCUAAAACUCUGGAGUUAAAUUUACCAUUGCCACAAUCUAACAUGGAUGCGUUGUUUCGUAGGAGAGAAUUGAAGCCUAAUAGAAGCAACUCUGAAGGGGGACAAAAGCCUAUUUGGCCUGUUCCUGAUAUUUCAGAAGGAAUUGGAAAAUCACAAGACUGGGACAUGGUCAUGACUUUUCAAAGAAAAAACACUUCACUGUUUAAUUCUCCAUUCGCAACAGCAGCGGCUUUUAUGAACCUUAAUAAUGAUAAUUGUCUUGAUUAUCUUCACUUACCUGUACAGAAGUUCGGCAGUGGAAAUUCCUUUGUAAUCACUUUUUCUUUCCCCACCCCCCUCUCUCCAUUUACAUGUCAAUUAUUUGGAUGUAACUCUUUUGUUGGAACUGAAAUGCAGCAUUUACAAAAGAGUUAUGCAUAUGGUUGAAUUAUGCAUAUGGUUGAUAGCCUUCAAACAUUGGGUAUUAUAUCAAAAAGAGGAAAUUUAGAGUGUCCUGGACAAAACUUAAAGGAUACCACUUGAAUUACUCAAUUCCGCUACAAAGUCUACCCGAUGGAAAGUCGAGAGAUAAAGUGGGCAAGAUUGUGGGUAUUCUAACUUCACUUCUGGUAAGGCUCAUCGGUCAAGCUCAAUUUCUAGAUGCUACAGCUAAAUCUAAGGCUACUACCUAGCUAGCUGUGCUCUUUCCUUCUCCCCUCUCAAAGCUACAAAAUUCCGUCACGGGUUUAGCGCUUCGACCCUGUCCUCCCUUGGGGGUUGGUCUCUUGGAUUAUCCUUCCUGUUUUGAGUGUCUUCUUGGAUAGUUAUAGCGGCCCAUAGGCGCAAGAUCCCUUGGGAAACCAUGAAACAACUAACACCCUUGAUUGUUUACCCCAAAAACAGGCCUUGGCUCAAAGGGGAGGAAAAUAUACUCUUUAGAUUCUUCGACCUGUGCAAUGGCCUUCUGAAUGUUACACGUCAAUGGAUAUGAGG